This 253-nucleotide ribosomal RNA is filed under the name uncultured bacterium. RNAcentral's name for it is "partial 16S ribosomal RNA". It matches the Rfam family "Bacterial small subunit ribosomal RNA", at positions 524 to 776 of the family's 1533-position model. The record is from RNAcentral.
UACGGAGGGUGCAAGCGUUAUCCGGAUUUAUUGGGUUUAAAGGGUCCGUAGGCGGAUCGUUAAGUCAGCGGUGAAAUCUUCCGGCUCAACCGGGAAACUGCCGUUGAUACUGUCGAUCUUGAGUACAAGUGAAGUUGGCGGAAUGUGUGGUGUAGCGGUGAAAUGCUUAGAUAUCACACAGAACACCUAUUGCGAAGGCAGCUGACUAACUCGUAACUGACGCUGAGGGACGAAAGUGUGGGGAUCAAACAGG